GUAGGGGGCAAGCGUUGUCCGGAUUUAUUGGGCGUAAAGAGCGUGUAGGCGGCCACACAGGUCUGCUGUGAAAACUCGAGGCUCAACCUCGAGCUGUCGGUGGAAACCGUGUGGCUAGAGUCCGGAAGAGGAGAGUGGAAUUCCCGGUGUAGCGGUGAAAUGCGCAGAUAUCGGGAAGAACACCCGUGGCGAAGGCGGCUCUCUGGGACGGUACUGACGCUGAGACGCGAAAGCGUGGGGAGCGAACAGGAUUAGAUACCCUGGUAGUCCACGCCGUAAACGAUGGGUGCUAGGUGUGGGGGGUGUCGACUCCCUCCGUGCCGAAGCUAACGCAUUAAGCACCCCGCCUGGGGAGUACGGCCGCAAGG
RNAcentral lists this ribosomal RNA (368 nucleotides) under uncultured bacterium. RNAcentral describes it as "bacterial SSU rRNA". It matches the Rfam family "Bacterial small subunit ribosomal RNA", at positions 527 to 893 of the family's 1533-position model. The record is from RNAcentral.